RNAcentral lists this ribosomal RNA (252 nucleotides) under uncultured bacterium. RNAcentral describes it as "partial 16S ribosomal RNA". It matches the Rfam family "Bacterial small subunit ribosomal RNA", at positions 524 to 776 of the family's 1533-position model. The record is from RNAcentral.
UACGUAGGGGGCGAGCGUUGUCCGGAGUUACUGGGCGUAAAGCGCACGCAGGCGGUCUGCUAAGUUUGGAGUGACAGUUGGUGGCUCAACCACCAAAGUGCUUUGAAAACUGACAGACUUGAGGGCUUCAGAGGGACACGGAAUUCCGGGUGGAGUGGUGAAAUGCGUAGAGAUCCGGAGGAACACCGAAGGCGAAGGCAGUGUCCUGGGAGUACCUGACGCUCGAGGUGCGAAAGCUAGGGAGCGAACGGG